ACACUCCUACGGGACGCAGCAGUAGGGAAUUUUCGUCAAUGGGCGCAAGCCUGAACGAGCGAUGCCGCGUGAGUGAAGAAGGCCUUCGGGUCGUAAAGCUCUGUUGCGGGGGAAAAAAGGCAGCAUCAGGAAAUGGGUGCUGACUGAUGGUGCCCCGCCAGAAAGUCACGGCUAACUACGUGCCAGAAGCCGCGGUAAUACGUAGGUGGCGAGCGUUAUCCGGAAUGAUUGGGCGUAAAGGGUGCGCAGACGGUCCUGCAAGUC
Molecule: ribosomal RNA, 264 nt
Filed under: uncultured bacterium
Lineage: Bacteria
Description: partial 16S ribosomal RNA
Rfam family: Bacterial small subunit ribosomal RNA
Source: RNAcentral